RNAcentral lists this ribosomal RNA (1500 nucleotides) under Salmonella enterica subsp. enterica serovar Enteritidis. Its description in RNAcentral is "bacterial SSU rRNA". It matches the Rfam family "Bacterial small subunit ribosomal RNA". The record is from RNAcentral. Lineage: Bacteria; Pseudomonadati; Pseudomonadota; Gammaproteobacteria; Enterobacterales; Enterobacteriaceae.
ACAUGCAAGUCGAACGGUAACAGGAAGCAGCUUGCUGCUUUGCUGACGAGUGGCGGACGGGUGAGUAAUGUCUGGGAAACUGCCUGAUGGAGGGGGAUAACUACUGGAAACGGUGGCUAAUACCGCAUAACGUCGCAAGACCAAAGAGGGGGACCUUCGGGCCUCUUGCCAUCAGAUGUGCCCAGAUGGGAUUAGCUUGUUGGUGAGGUAACGGCUCACCAAGGCGACGAUCCCUAGCUGGUCUGAGAGGAUGACCAGCCACACUGGAACUGAGACACGGUCCAGACUCCUACGGGAGGCAGCAGUGGGGAAUAUUGCACAAUGGGCGCAAGCCUGAUGCAGCCAUGCCGCGUGUAUGAAGAAGGCCUUCGGGUUGUAAAGUACUUUCAGCGGGGAGGAAGGUGUUGUGGUUAAUAACCGCAGCAAUUGACGUUACCCGCAGAAGAAGCACCGGCUAACUCCGUGCCAGCAGCCGCGGUAAUACGGAGGGUGCAAGCGUUAAUCGGAAUUACUGGGCGUAAAGCGCACGCAGGCGGUCUGUCAAGUCGGAUGUGAAAUCCCCGGGCUCAACCUGGGAACUGCAUUCGAAACUGGCAGGCUUGAGUCUUGUAGAGGGGGGUAGAAUUCCAGGUGUAGCGGUGAAAUGCGUAGAGAUCUGGAGGAAUACCGGUGGCGAAGGCGGCCCCCUGGACAAAGACUGACGCUCAGGUGCGAAAGCGUGGGGAGCAAACAGGAUUAGAUACCCUGGUAGUCCACGCCGUAAACGAUGUCUACUUGGAGGUUGUGCCCUUGAGGCGUGGCUUCCGGAGCUAACGCGUUAAGUAGACCGCCUGGGGAGUACGGCCGCAAGGUUAAAACUCAAAUGAAUUGACGGGGGCCCGCACAAGCGGUGGAGCAUGUGGUUUAAUUCGAUGCAACGCGAAGAACCUUACCUGGUCUUGACAUCCACAGAAGAAUCCAGAGAUGGAUUUGUGCCUUCGGGAACUGUGAGACAGGUGCUGCAUGGCUGUCGUCAGCUCGUGUUGUGAAAUGUUGGGUUAAGUCCCGCAACGAGCGCAACCCUUAUCCUUUGUUGCCAGCGGUUAGGCCGGGAACUCAAAGGAGACUGCCAGUGAUAAACUGGAGGAAGGUGGGGAUGACGUCAAGUCAUCAUGGCCCUUACGACCAGGGCUACACACGUGCUACAAUGGCGCAUACAAAGAGAAGCGACCUCGCGAGAGCAAGCGGACCUCAUAAAGUGCGUCGUAGUCCGGAUUGGAGUCUGCAACUCGACUCCAUGAAGUCGGAAUCGCUAGUAAUCGUGGAUCAGAAUGCCACGGUGAAUACGUUCCCGGGCCUUGUACACACCGCCCGUCACACCAUGGGAGUGGGUUGCAAAAGAAGUAGGUAGCUUAACCUUCGGGAGGGCGCUUACCACUUUGUGAUUCAUGACUGGGGUGAAGUCGUAACAAGGUAACCGUAGGGGAACCUGCGGUUGGAUCACCUCCUUACCUUAAAGAA